GCACAUGAAGUUAAACUGGUUAGUUUUGGCGUGAUUCACGCCAAGCGUGCCAAGGUGAAAUUGUUUACCGUUAGAAGGUUGUCGUUCACAUUGAGCGGAUCCAGCGUAAGAAGGCCAACGGAACGAACGUGUACGUCGGUUUGCACCCAUUCAUGUGUCUGAUCGUCAAGCUGAAGAUGAACAAGGUUCGCAAGAGGAUCCUGGGUCGCCGUCGCUGGACGCAGGGUGGCGUUUUCCAAGGACAAGGGCAAAUACACCGAGGAAUCGGCCGCGACCCCUGCGAUGAAGGCUAGCUGUUAAGCUCUCCCCCCACAAAUUCAGACCGCGAUCCUUUUUUUAACAAUAACGGGCCUUCUGUGAUUGGCUGUUCCGUUGCAUUCUAAAAGAAUAACAAAUUCAAUUAAAUUUGAUGUAAUACUUCCACAAUUAGGCAGCGGAACCAGCCAAAAGCAGUUAAAGAUGAACGAAAGUUAAUUAGUUUUAAAUAAGAAAUAGAAUACUUACUGAAGUUUUCGAAGCUGAA
This is a long non-coding RNA of Culex pipiens pallens (northern house mosquito), 523 nucleotides long. RefSeq lists it as uncharacterized. Lineage: Eukaryota; Metazoa; Arthropoda; Insecta; Diptera; Culicidae. The record is from RefSeq and is a predicted model, not a curated record. The transcript is spliced from 2 exons.